Non-coding RNA from Araneus ventricosus, 73 nucleotides. The record is from the annotation of a GenBank genome assembly. Lineage: Eukaryota; Metazoa; Arthropoda; Arachnida; Araneae; Araneidae.
CCCCGUCUGGUAUAAUGGUUAUUGCGUUUGCCUUCAAACUUUAUGAGCGUGAGUUCGAUCCCCGGCUCGGAGA